This 519-nucleotide ribosomal RNA is filed under the name uncultured bacterium. RNAcentral describes it as "bacterial SSU rRNA". It matches the Rfam family "Bacterial small subunit ribosomal RNA", at positions 9 to 526 of the family's 1533-position model. The record is from RNAcentral.
GAGUUUGAUCCUGGCUCAGGAUGAACGCUGGCGGCGUGCUUAACACAUGCAAGUCGAACGAAGCACUCUAUUUGAUUUUCUUCGGAAAUGAAGAUUUUGUGACUGAGUGGCGGACGGGUGAGUAACGCGUGGGUAACCUGCCUCAUACAGGGGGAUAACAGUUGGAAACGACUGCUAAUACCGCAUAAGCGCACGGGGCCGCAUGGUCCUGUGUGAAAAACUCCGGUGGUAUAAGAUGGACCCGCGUUGGAUUAGCUAGUUGGCAGGGCAGCGGCCUACCAAGGCGACGAUCCAUAGCCGGCCUGAGAGGGUGAACGGCCACAUUGGGACUGAGACACGGCCCAGACUCCUACGGGAGGCAGCAGUGGGGAAUAUUGCACAAUGGGGGAAACCCUGAUGCAGCGACGCCGCGUGAAGGAAGAAGUAUCUCGGUAUGUAAACUUCUAUCAGCAGGGAAGAUAAUGACGGUACCUGACUAAGAAGCCCCGGCUAACUACGUGCCAGCCGCCGCGGUAAUUC